CAGCCGCCGCGGUAAUACGUAGGGUCCGAGCGUUGUCCGGAAUUAUUGGGCGUAAAGGGCUCGUAGGCGGUUUGUCACGUCGGGAGUGAAAACUCAGGGCUCAACCCUGAGCGUGCUUCCGAUACGGGCAGACUAGAGGUAUGCAGGGGAGAACGGAAUUCCUGGUGUAGCGGUGGAAUGCGCAGAUAUCAGGAGGAACACCGGUGGCGAAGGCGGUUCUCUGGGCAUUACCUGACGCUGAGGAGCGAAAGCAUGGGGAGCGAACAGGAUUAGAUACCCGGGUAGUCCCUGUCUCUUAUAC
This 301-nucleotide ribosomal RNA is filed under the name uncultured bacterium. RNAcentral describes it as "partial 16S ribosomal RNA". It matches the Rfam family "Bacterial small subunit ribosomal RNA", at positions 509 to 807 of the family's 1533-position model. The record is from RNAcentral.